Molecule: long non-coding RNA, 2303 nt
Organism: Gallus gallus (chicken)
Lineage: Eukaryota; Metazoa; Chordata; Aves; Galliformes; Phasianidae
Source: Ensembl
AUGAAAUUAGGAGACAUCAAUACGUGUGUUGCUAUUGAGGAGUUACGAUUUUUGUUUUUUUAAAGGCAGCAUUUGUUACGAUUUCUUUGAGCAAUAAGUGCAUAAGUCUCAUUCAUUUGGAACAUUAUAAGUUAACGUGACAGCCAAAUGUUCCUAAGACCUCAGGGGUAGAAUUGUUUUGGGAGAAAAAGUACCCCCUAGAGUUGCCUUAUUCUAUUCUGAAAAAAAAUAUACGUAUUAAUUUGAGGAAAAUAUAAAUGAAGUGUUGAAGAAGAAUAACAUUUCUAAUAUUUGACAGCAAAUUUUUUCAUCGAGAAAACCCAUCUGUAAUCUUCACCAGCUAAGUUCAGGUUUUUUACAAAAAUGUUUUGUAAGUUUUUAAGUGAUUUAUACAUUUUGAGUAGAAAAAGUUGUAUUCUUCCUUCCAAGCAUAUGAAUUUUGUUUUCUGGUUCUCUUGGAAAAGUGUCAUACCAUGAAAUGAGUAUUUGCCAAACCAGAGAGAAAACAGGCACUCCAUUGCUUUUAAAUGCUGUAGCAUCCCACUCUUCUUUCUGAUUCUCCUCUCCUAUGUAUUUCCUUUUAAAACUUAUUUAUUUAAACAAAUUACCAAAUGACAAUGUUAGCUAAGGACUGACCUCAUCCUGCAACUUCCUCCAUGAGAACAGUUCCACGUAGCCGUACCCUCCAGUCCGAGUGGGGAGCGCUGCUCAAGCCAGGCCUCUUCUCCUGGCUGUGAGCUGCAGGAUCGGGGCUCAGAGACAAAGCUGUACCUUAAGUCUGCCUCAGAGUCCUCCCGGCUGGGUAACCCAUGGGCGUAACGAGGUUAGAGUUCUCCAGUGUGAAAGUAUACUAAUAAUGUACUUGAUAUUAUUAUACUGUAGUGGUGCUGUAACAGAGGAACAUGAAUUUUCUAGGUCUCCUUUAUUUAAAAUCUAGACAAGGUGCUUUUUCCUUGAAAAGUUGAACUGUAAAUGCAAUGUUUACAGUUUUGGUACGAAAAGUACUUAAAUGGUAUUUUUAACAUAUAGUGCCAGUUAGGACCUUGGUGCUACAAAUACUUAAAUACGGCCGUAGAUCAUUGAGACUGUUCUCCUGUAUAAGCGUAUACACACGUAGUGUUGGCAGGAGCAAGGUCUGAAGUAGCAAUCACUAUAUAACGACCUGGGGUUCAGCUGCACGGAUUCCUGUCGAAGUUAACAGAAAUGUUGGUGGCAGAAGAUGGCUGAACUGAACCCAUUCUUUGUAUCUUCAGUAAAAUUUGUAAAAACCGGGUAUGCUGCAAAUCUUAGUUCAGAGCUUAAUUUUAGUUCAAAUAGAGGAUAUGAAGGGAUUGUAAAUAAUAAUAAAACAAAAACAAUAUUACACCAUCAUUUUGUACCAGCAGUUUUAUGCUUCUUGACUACGUAAUAUACAGUAUACAUCAGAUCAUUAUGGUAUUUUGUGUGCCUUAGAUUUCCAUUUUGAAACUCGUAUAUUUUUGGUGAGCCUAAGACUAGUAAGAACUCUGGCUGUCCAUACAGGAAGUAGAACUGUACGUUCUGUAGCUAUUCCAUUCACAUAUUUGCUAUCUGGAAACCCUUGUCCAAGACUGUGAGCAAUCAUGUGCAGGAAAUACUAGUUGACUGGUUUCACUGCUAGCGCUGAUGGCUUUAGUUUGUGUAAUACGAAUUAAAAAUACCAUUCAGCACUCCUGUAUGAGCAACAACUUUUCUACACAAAACAGUGUUACAGAGCGAUCUACUUACCGCUAGAAAUGUUCCGAUCAUUAAAGUGGAUCAGUUUCACUUGAAUCGCCCCCUAUAAAUGUCCAGGUUUAACUUAGGUAUUAUUAGAAACUUAAGGAUGAAAAUGUUCCAUUCAAAAACCAGCAGCUUCCCUCAAAGAAGUGAGAAAGAAGUGAAAGGUAGAUCUGAAAGGAUACCUCCAAACAUAGCUCGUGGCAAGCCACUGCUCAAGUGACGGCACCAGCAGAAUUUCAGCAAGUUCAGGUCUACCUUAUUUAAGACGGCAGUUUUGAGAGAAAAGUAUAUCUUAACACAAUAGUAAUGCUAUUAACUGAUAGGUGCUAAAACUCAGAGUUACUACUUAUUAAGAUUACUUAUAUGAGAAAUAUAUAUCAUCUGUACAAUAGGUGCUCUUUCCUCGAUUGUCUAUAAUGUAACUACUUUCUCAGUGUGUAUCUAACAGGCAGGUUAGCUGGCCACUUCUGUUUCCUGCUGUGGCACAUAGCAGGUUGUGAUUUAAGAAGUUAGUAUUUUCUAUUGCUGUACUGCGGUGUGAGAAAUACAACCAUUUACUGUUU